This 441-nucleotide ribosomal RNA is filed under the name uncultured bacterium. RNAcentral's name for it is "partial 16S ribosomal RNA". It matches the Rfam family "Bacterial small subunit ribosomal RNA", at positions 338 to 795 of the family's 1533-position model. The record is from RNAcentral.
CCUACGGGAGGCAGCAGUGGGGGAUUUUGCACAAUGGGGGGAACCCUGAUGCAGCGACGCCGCGUGGGUGAAGGAGUGUUUCGGCGCGUAAAGCCCUAUCGGCAGGGAAGAAGGCGGACGGUACCUGACUAAGAAGCCCCGGCUAACUACGUGCCAGCAGCCGCGGUAAUACGUAGGGGGCAAGCGUUAGCCGGAUGUACUGGGUGUAAAGGGGGCGCAGACGGCGGCGCAAGCCAGGAGUGAAAGCCCGGGGCCCAACCCGGGGACUGCUCUUGGAACUGCGCGGCUGGAGUGCAGGAGGGGCAGGCAGAAUUCCUGGUGUAGCGGUGAAAUGCGGAGAGAUCAGGAGGAACACCGGUGGCGAAGGUGGCCCGCUGGACUGCGACUGACGUUGAGGCGCGAAAGCGUGGGGAGCAAACAGGAUUAGAUACCCCAGUAGUC